This 343-nucleotide RNase P RNA is filed under the name Burkholderiales bacterium JOSHI_001. Its description in RNAcentral is "Bacterial RNase P class A". It matches the Rfam family "Bacterial RNase P class A". From Rfam's summary of the family: Ribonuclease P (RNase P) is a ubiquitous endoribonuclease, found in archaea, bacteria and eukarya as well as chloroplasts and mitochondria. Its best characterised activity is the generation of mature 5'-ends of tRNAs by cleaving the 5'-leader elements of precursor-tRNAs. Cellular RNase Ps are ribonucleoproteins. The record is from Rfam by way of RNAcentral. Lineage: Bacteria; Pseudomonadati; Pseudomonadota; Betaproteobacteria; Burkholderiales.
GAAGCAGACCAGACCGCCGCUGGGGCAAGGCUCGAAAGGGCGCCCUGGAGGAAGGUCCGGACUGCACAGGGCAGCGUAGCAGCUAACGGCUGUCCACCGCGAGGUGAGGAUCAGAGCAACAGAGACGAGUCAGGGCAGGGCGCAAGCCCCGCCUUGAGUGAAACGGGCAAUCUCUACGCGCAGCAACACCAAAUAGGCACACGUUGAUCUGGCCCGGAGAGUGUGCGGGUAGGUGGCAUUGAGCCGGGUGGGCGACCCCCGGCCCAGAGGAAUGGCGGUCACGCCGCCGGCUUCGCAAGGGGCCGGCGGUGCACAGAAUCCGGCCCAUCGGUCUGCUUCACAC